RNAcentral lists this ribosomal RNA (253 nucleotides) under uncultured bacterium. RNAcentral's name for it is "partial 16S ribosomal RNA". It matches the Rfam family "Bacterial small subunit ribosomal RNA", at positions 524 to 776 of the family's 1533-position model. The record is from RNAcentral.
UACGUAGGGUGCGAGCGUUGUCCGGAAUUAUUGGGCGUAAAGGGCUCGUAGGCGGUCUGUUGCGUCGGGAGUGAAAACUCAGGGCUUAACCCUGGGCCUGCUUCCGAUACGGGCAGACUAGAGGUAUGCAGGGGAGAACGGAAUUCCUGGUGUAGCGGUGAAAUGCGCAGAUAUCAGGAGGAACACCGGUGGCGAAGGCGGUUCUCUGGGCAUUAACUGACGCUGAGGAGCGAAAGCGUGGGGAGCGAACAGG